CAGCAGCCACGGGAAUACGAAGGGGGCUAGCGUUGUUCGGAUUUACUGGGCGUAAAGGGCGCGUAGGCGGACUGAUAAGUCAGGGGUGAAAUCCCAAGGCUCAACCUUGGAACUGCCUUUGAUACUGUUUGUCUUGAGUUCGAGAGAGGUAAGUGGAACUGCGAGUGUAGAGGUGAAAUUCGUAGAUAUUCGCAAGAACACCAGUAGCGAAGGCGGCUUACUGGCUCGAAACUGACGCUGAGGCGCGAAAGCGUGGGGAGCAAACAGGAUUAGAUACCCCGGUAGUCCCUGUCUCUUAUAC
RNAcentral lists this ribosomal RNA (301 nucleotides) under uncultured bacterium. RNAcentral describes it as "partial 16S ribosomal RNA". It matches the Rfam family "Bacterial small subunit ribosomal RNA", at positions 509 to 807 of the family's 1533-position model. The record is from RNAcentral.